This 742-nucleotide ribosomal RNA is filed under the name Echinostoma revolutum. RNAcentral's name for it is "SSU rRNA". It matches the Rfam family "Eukaryotic small subunit ribosomal RNA", at positions 96 to 759 of the family's 1831-position model. Lineage: Eukaryota; Metazoa; Platyhelminthes; Trematoda; Plagiorchiida; Echinostomatidae. The record is from RNAcentral.
GCUCAUUAAAUCAGCUAUGGUUCCUUGGAUCGUACAUACUACAUGGAUAACUGUAGUAAUUCUAGAGCUAAUACAUGCCACUAUGCCCUGACCCGCAAGGGAACGGGUGGAUUUAUUAGAACAGAACCAACCGGGGACGGCUUCGGUCGUUCCUGUUGCAUUCUGUGAUGACUCUGGAUAACUUCACUGAUCGCAGUCGGCCUUGUGUCGGCGACGGAUCUUUCAAAUGUCUGCCCUAUCAAUUUACGAUGGUAGGUGACCUGCCUACCAUGGUUCUAACGGGUAACGGGGAAUCAGGGUUCGAUUCCGGAGAGGGAGCCUGAGAAACGGCUACCACUUCCAAGGAAGGCAGCAGGCACGCAAAUUACCCAAUCCCGGCACGGGGAGGUAGUGACGAAAAAUACGGAUACGGGACUCAAUAGAGGCUCCGUAAUUCGAAUGAGUACAAUUUAAAUCCUUUAACGAGGAUCAACUGGAGGGCAAGUCUGGUGCCAGCAGCCGCGGUAACUCCAGCUCCAGAAGCGUAUAUUAAAGUUGUUGCAGUUAAAAAGCUCGUAGUUGGAUCUGGGUUGCAUGGCUACAUGCCGUCGCUCGUUGGUGUGGUCUGGUAACCACCGGAUCAAGCCUGCGAGUCGGUUUAGUGGUUGUGCUUCCUUUCUGCUGUGUCUGUUUACAGGUGUCAGCGUGACUGGUGGGCUUGCCUGCUGGUCUGUUGGCAUGCUUCUUGAUGCCUUUAAACGGG